UACAUACUCGCUCAGUGGUAGAGCAUUACCCUGUAAAGGUAACGGUCGCGGGUUCAAAUCCCGCGUAUGUGA
This 72-nucleotide transfer RNA is filed under the name Oxynema mangrovii CENA135. Its description in RNAcentral is "tRNA-Tyr". It matches the Rfam family "tRNA". Rfam says of the family: Transfer RNA (tRNA) molecules are approximately 80 nucleotides in length. Their secondary structure includes four short double-helical elements and three loops (D, anti-codon, and T loops). RNAcentral also lists the same sequence under 2 other names. The record is from RNAcentral. Lineage: Bacteria; Bacillati; Cyanobacteriota; Cyanophyceae; Oscillatoriales; Oscillatoriaceae.